RNAcentral lists this long non-coding RNA (631 nucleotides) under Homo sapiens (human). RNAcentral's name for it is "HSALNT0353999". The record is from RNAcentral. Lineage: Eukaryota; Metazoa; Chordata; Mammalia; Primates; Hominidae.
CUUCCACUCCUUCUGCCACAUGAAGAUGUAGAGUUCCUCCCCUCCAGAGGAUGCAGCAAUCCAGGUGCCAUCUCAGAAGUGGAGGCUGGACCCUCCUCAGACACUGAACCUACUGGCACCUUGAUUUAGGACUCCCCAGCCUCCAGAACUGGCUGGCAAGAUGAUCAAAGGAGGUGCGGUGUGACUCGCAAGCUGGAGAGACGGGAAAGCCUGCUCCUGAUGUGGAAAGCAUCAUUAUUAUCCCCCACUGCAGACAGCCACAGAGCGCUGGAGCUGGGAGGAACCUUCCAGAUCCCUCAGGGGCUGGACUGCUUAUCUCCACAGCAGCAGCCCCGCACCUCUGAGGCAACAAAGCUAGAAGCUGUCAUUUCAAGUGGAGAAACGCAGGCGCAGAAAAGAACCUGGAACUAGCAGCUGUUUUGGCAGCCAGAUGAGAUGCCCCCUGGGAGAGCCAUGCCUCUUGUGGAAAGGGCCUGCUCCUCCUCACCUUCAGGAAGUUCUACUAAAAUUCAGUAAUCUUACUAGGCAGUAAGAUUCAGGACAUAGGCAUGGGCAAGGACUUCAUGUCUAAAACACCAAAAGCAAUGGCAACAAAAGACAAAAUUGACAAAUGGGAUCUAAUUAAACUAAA